RNAcentral lists this unclassified non-coding RNA (330 nucleotides) under fungal sp. RNAcentral describes it as "partial internal transcribed spacer region". Lineage: Eukaryota; Fungi. The record is from RNAcentral.
AAGUUUUCGUAGGUGAACCUGCGGAAGGAUCAUUACACGUAUCCAACGUUAAACAACCCUGUUUUCAGCGCUCUUGUAUUAAACCAGGCGGAACAGCAAUCCGGUAAAUAUCAAUUGGCGGAAAAGUUUUGAUUCGGGACCUCUGUGUGACAUGGUUUCCCCAGCAGUGCAGAAGGUUCCACUGAGUAGGAUAACGCAUCAACGGUUGCUAGAGGUCGAUCACCGGCCGGCAGACCUGUCACAGGGCUAUACGCCCUUCAUUCACCCCUUGCCCUCUCCUUGCCGCCGCACAAAAACUGAACAACUGGUAACAAUGGAUAUCUUGGUCUC